AGAUUGAACGCUGGCGGCAGGCCUAACACAUGCAAGUCGAGCGGUAGAGAGGUGCUUGCACCUCUUGAGAGCGGCGGACGGGUGAGUAAUGCCUAGGAAUCUGCCUAGUGGUGGGGGAUAACGUUCGGAAACGGACGCUAAUACCGCAUACGUCCUACGGGAGAAAGCGGGGGACCUUCGGGCCUCGCGCCAUUAGAUGAGCCUAGGUCGGAUUAGCUAGUUGGUGAGGUAUGGCUCACCAAGGCGACGAUCCGUAACUGGUCUGAGAGGAUGAUCAGUCACACGUGGAACUGACGACACGGUCCAGACUCCGUACGGGAGCAGCGAGGUGGGAAUGUUAGGACAAGUGGGACGAAGCCUAGACUCCGAGCCAGUCGCCGCGUGUGAGAAGUACGUUCGUUACGGAUUAG
This 410-nucleotide ribosomal RNA is filed under the name uncultured soil bacterium. RNAcentral describes it as "bacterial SSU rRNA". It matches the Rfam family "Bacterial small subunit ribosomal RNA", at positions 26 to 430 of the family's 1533-position model. The record is from RNAcentral.